Molecule: ribosomal RNA, 439 nt
Filed under: uncultured bacterium
Lineage: Bacteria
Description: partial 16S ribosomal RNA
Rfam family: Bacterial small subunit ribosomal RNA
Source: RNAcentral
CCUACGGGAGGCUGCAGUGGGGGAUAUUGCACAAUGGGGGAAACCCUGAUGCAGCGAUGCCGCGUGAAUGAAGACGGCCUUCGGGUUGUAAAGUUUUGUCGCAGGGGACGAAAAUGACGGUACCCUGCAAGAAAGCUCCGUCUAACUACGUGCCAGCAGCCGCGGUAAUACGUAGGGAGCAAGCGUUGUCCGGAAUUACUGGGUGUAAAGGGAGCGUAGGCGGGAGGAUAAGUUGAAUGUGAAAUCUAUGGGCUCAACCCAUAGCUGCGGUUAAAACUGUUCUUCUUGAGUGAAGUAGGGGCAGGCGGAAUGCGUGGUGUAGCGGUGAAAUGCGUAGAUAUUAGGAAGAACACCGGUGGCGAAGGCAGCCUGUUGGGGUUUUACUGACGCUGAGGCUCGAAAGCGUGGGUAGCGAACAGGAUUAGAUACCCUAGUAGUC